Molecule: ribosomal RNA, 460 nt
Filed under: uncultured bacterium
Lineage: Bacteria
Description: partial 16S ribosomal RNA
Rfam family: Bacterial small subunit ribosomal RNA
Source: RNAcentral
CCUACGGGUGGCAGCAGUGAGGAAUAUUGGUCAAUGGACGAGAGUCUGAACCAGCCAAGUAGCGUGAAGGAUGACUGCCCUAUGGGUUGUAAACUUCUUUUAUAUGGGAAUAAAAUGUUCCACGUGUGGGAUUUUGUAUGUACCAUAUGAAUAAGGAUCGGCUAACUCCGUGCCAGCAGCCGCGGUAAUACGGAGGAUCCGAGCGUUAUCCGGAUUUAUUGGGUUUAAAGGGAGCGUAGGUGGAUUGUUAAGUCAGUUGUGAAAGUUUGCGGCUCAACCGUAAAAUUGCAGUUGAAACUGGCAGUCUUGAGUACAGUAGAGGUGGGCGGAAUUCGUGGUGUAGCGGUGAAAUGCUUAGAUAUCACGAAGAACUCCGAUUGCGAAGGCAGUUCACUGGACUGCAACUGACAUUGAUGCUCGAAAGUGUGGGUAUCAAACAGGAUUAGAUACCCUAGUAGUC